This is a non-coding RNA of Camellia sinensis, 1809 nucleotides long. Lineage: Eukaryota; Viridiplantae; Streptophyta; Magnoliopsida; Ericales; Theaceae. The record is from RefSeq and is a predicted model, not a curated record.
CUCAUACUCAUUUUCCUAACAAUGUUGUCAUUGGAAAUUCCUAUUUGCUAUGCAAACUAGAUCAUGAAUAACAAGAAAUAUUCUCUUGUUCAAAGUAGGCUUUGAAUUGUUUGGGCUUGAUGUAUUUAAUUGAACUUGUUGGGAAACUGACUAAGGAAAAGGUUUCUGAUGCCCAUUAUCUCUACUUGCAAGAGUUAGCACAUUUGCUAAUAAUGGUUAUUAAAUAUUCCAUAUUAGCAGUUGAUGUGUGAGUCAAUGAUUCCUACAAACCUUUUGGAAGUGGAAUUUACUACACAUCAAUUGACCCAAAGUGUAGUCUUUCUAAACAAUUAUUCUAGGGAAGUGUUGGAUAUGCUAGGCAAAGAGUAUUAAGGUAUUAUUACCGGAUGAAGUGACAAAUGUACUAUGGGAAUUAGCGUACAAAUGAGGGUAGUCUGUGAAGUGAUAAGUAUACUAUGGGAAUUAUUGUAGAAAUGAGGGUCAUAUAGUCUCUGAAAUUAUUUAAGUCUUUCCUCUAGCUGACUUAGCUUGAGUUGUAUUGUCAGAUAUUCAAUUAUUUAUAAAUAUUGAAGUCAUUUGACAUUUUUUCUAAUUAUUCACGAGAUUACUGCUUUAGAUUCAUUUGCUCCAAAUGUAUAACAUGCAUUUCUGUACUCAUUUUCACUCUUUUAACGUUCUUUAUAUUUUCCCUGAAGUUUUUGCUGAAAUCCCUACCUUUUUUUAACUAGCAUUUCAACAACUCCAUUGGCUGUCAGUUCCAUAUAAAGUGUUAAAAUCGUAUAUUUUAUGCUUCAACUGAAGGAUUUUCCUGUAUGCUUUUAUUCUUAUCCUGGAAGAUGUAACACAGCAAAGUUACCCAUAUGCAGACAUAAAAUUUUGAUGUCAUAGCAUUUCAACAUGAUGAUGGGAGGAUGUAAUCACUGUAGAUACCAAUUAAUUGUUAUCAGAACAGAAGUGCAUGCUAGAACAUUCUUUGCUUUUGCAUGGAGUAGGUACAUGCAUUACCUGUAACCAGAAUGCUGAAACGGGGACAUUGUAGGUCUGUAGUUUGUCCCAAACAUCUCGUACAAGAUCUGUGCCGCCCUGCAUUCCAACCACAGCACCAGAUAUAAUCCACUCAGGAAGCUCUGGUGGUCUUCCGAUGACUUCGGUGAAUUGUUCAAUAAACUCCAAAGCGGCUACAACAGCUGUUCGCUUUAAAAGAUGCCCAGACCAACCCAGUCGACGCCUCCUAAACCGGCUCAGCCUCUGCGAAAAGCCCUGCUAAUGCUGCGGAGACAAAGGCUUGUCCAGGGAUGGUAGACCAUAUGGGUCUGUUGGGCUGAGAUUGAUGAGAAAUUGAGAGAGACCCACCAUUCUUGGAUUGCCAAGUCAACUGAAAAUUCUUCCCAAUGCAAAAGAUUUGAUGUGAAGGGAGUGUUUGGGGAUUGAAAGAUAGAGUUCCUUGAAUACAAGGGAGAGAUUUUGGAUUUGAAGGGAAGGGGUUGUUGAGAUGUUUGUGGUGCUUUUUUGUGAUUUUGAGAGUUUCCAUUUUGGAUACAAGAGAGAGCUCAUGGAGUCAUGGGUAUAUAUAUAUAUAGGUUCAUAUAUCAAUAAACGUGUAUGUAUAUAUUGAAGGUGGUAUGUGGGGAAAAGAAAAGAUAAGAACUUCUUGCAUGAAAAUGCCCGUUGUUAUCCACACUGGUGAUAGAGAUGGUUUUGAAAGAUUGAUUUGGAACUUGGAACAAUGAAUUUGUUUAAGCUGUUGUACUAAAUUGACCAAGUUGCCCUCGUUAAUUAACAUUUAUGAAAUGGAUUGUUUUUUAUGCA